Long non-coding RNA from Gallus gallus (chicken), 1759 nucleotides. Lineage: Eukaryota; Metazoa; Chordata; Aves; Galliformes; Phasianidae. The record is from Ensembl.
GGCAAAUAUAAAGCCACUGUCAUUCCUCCUGUCUGUGUAUCUACUGUUGUAACUCAUGUGAGAGGAAUAAACCAGCGCUCCCUAUUUCUUUAGUUAUUUAUUUAUUUGCUGUGGAUCAGAAAGGGCCAACCUGCUUGAGAUCUUCUGAGAGACCCCCGUCUCUUCAAAAUGCCAAGAGAAGGAGAUUAGACACCAAUGGUGAUGCACAGAAGUACAAAGGGAAGAAGCUUGAGGUGAGGUGUGAUCUCACAAAAUGUUGCAAUUGCAUUCACGAGCAAACAGCAGAGGAGGACAGUGAGACAGUUAAAAGCAGAAGAAUGAACAACCAUCAGCUACUCUGUUCAGCAGCUGCUGUUUCUAAGGAAGCUGAUUAGAAACUGACAUGUGAUUUCUUAUUUAAAACUGUGAUUAGUUUGCUUCCUGCUCCGUUGUUGACUGGAUGGAAAAUAUGCCAGACUUUUCCUUCAGAUUGGGAGAGACACUGUUCAGAUGAUGAACUUCUUGAUACAAAGAGGAAACUGGAUUUCAAUUUGAAAGGUGGCUUUUCUCUCCAAGAUGCCUUAAAACAAACAAACAAACAAACAACAACAACAACAACAAACUGGACUGCAUAAAAGUAGGCAUGUAACAUCCAUCACUGGGCUCAGGAUAUGCUCAUUCAUUACACUGCCACAUCUGCAUGCAGGUUCUGGAUGCCUUCUGUAGGAUCCAUUUCGUGCCAGCAGGAUGAGUUAAUCGAUUUGAGCUGCUGGAAAAUGAAUCAGUUUCACUUAGUGACCACAGAAUUGCUUGAUCUAAUGGAGAGGAAGAAAACCAGCCUUGAGAGAGAGGUGACCUUAGUCUGAUGGUUAGGGCAUUUAGGUGGGUGGCAGCAGGCAUUAUUAAAUUCCAGCUCAAAAGUAGGUGGGACAGGAUUUAUUGUAACUUGUCUCAGCUACACUGUAAGGUUGUUUUGCUACUAGGGCAUUGUGUGUAAGGUGAGCGUGUAACAGUCACCCUCUAGUCACUUUCUCUAAGGGUGGAUAGGGAGGUGUACACCAAGCAUUCCUGCUUUGUGGCUUUGGUCAGGAAGCCUGGGUGAGAAGAUUCUUUCUGUAAGAGUAAUGGCAGGGUUCAGAGAAGGGCUGUUUCACAGCAGCUCUGUGUUAUGACAUACUUGUAACCUCAGUGUCUGGUUGCCAGCAGAAAUUAAAACAUAGACUUCACGUGCACCUACAGUUUGAUGGCAUUUCACCAGGUACAUUGGGAAUCUGAGAGAUUUUGUCAGUGUUGCAAGUUCCUCAGAAUUCAGUGAUGUGUUUCAUGCAGUUCCAUCAGUGUAAGUUUUAAGACGUGACCAUGAGUGGAAAGGCUGUCAGGAAUAUUCUGUGAUAAACAAGAGAAUAUUUUUUUUCCUUUGGAUCAGUUGAGAAUAACGCACAAGGACAUAAAGAAAGGGAAUUGGUGGAAAUAGUAGUAGUAUCAAAUACCAGAAUCUGUAACAAUUCAGUAUAAUAAAGCCUGCAGUAUAAGUGCCUGCAGAAAUGUAUACGGUAGAUGCUUGCUUUACACUGCCACCCUCAUGCAGAGAUUUUUGCUUAAGAAAUGCCACCUUUAGUUUGUGUCAGGAAUAUGAAAUGACCCUGUCCUAUGAACGACUUACAAAUAUUUGGCAUUUUGAAUCUUUCAUCAGCUAUCUCUCUUGACCUUGUUUGCCCUGUUGUAGACUAAUAAAUAGCAAAAAAAACCCUUGCUGUUGCAAUUCUGACCCAGUCCUAAC